UAGGGAAUCUUCGGCAAUGGGGGCAACCCUGACCGAGCAACGCCGCGUGAGUGAAGAAGGUUUUCGGAUCGUAAAGCUCUGUUGUAGGUCAAGAACGGGUGUGAGAGUGGAAAGUUCACACUGUGACGGUAGCUUACCAGAAAGGGACGGCUAACUACGUGCCAGCAGCCGCGGUAAUACGUAGGUCCCGAGCGUUGUCCGGAUUUAUUGGGCGUAAAGCGAGCGCAGGCGGUUUGAUAAGUCUGAAGUUAAAGGCUGUGGCUCAACCAUAGUUCGCUUUGGAAACUGUCAAACUUGAGUGCAGAAGGGGAGAGUGGAAUUCCAUGUGUAGCGGUGAAAUGCGUAGAUAUAUGGAGGAACACCGGUGCGAAAGCGGCUCUCUGGUCUGUAACUGACGCUGAGGCUCGAAAGCGUGGGGAGCGAACAGGAUUAGAUACCCUGGUAGUCCAC
Molecule: ribosomal RNA, 450 nt
Filed under: uncultured bacterium
Lineage: Bacteria
Description: partial 16S ribosomal RNA
Rfam family: Bacterial small subunit ribosomal RNA
Source: RNAcentral